GGCCAUUCCUUCAUGUUAAUAUCUCAUACGCUAUUUUGCAAUGACUUGGGUCAUUUCCAGUUGUUAAUGCUUAUGGAUAGACCUACAAGGAACAUAUGAAAGAGUUAUUUUUCCUCCUUAAAUAAGGUCAAAAGGUGUGCUGAGUUUAGAGCUCUCGUUAGAUUGCUGCCGGAUUCCUCUCUGGCUGAAGUGCCACCAGCCACAUUUCAGGGCUUCAGCUUUCCCACAGCCCCCUCUAAACAGUUUCAUUUUUAUUUAUUUUGGUUUGUGUAAAGAUGCCUUGGAAUGGUUUCAUUGUUAUUUUAAAAUUGCUGAUGUGGUUUGAUGAGAACUAAUUUAGAUAACAUGUACCCAGACCCUAACACAGAGCCUGGCAUAUAGUAAGCUAUUAUUAUUGUUGUUGUUCUCAUCCUCACCUACUUGAGAUUUUCUUUAUGUGUUUGUGGCAAGGGUUGUUUCUCCUUUUAGCUACAAAACAGGUCCUUCCCAGUCUGCGUGCUGCCUCCUGGCUCCAGCCUCUGGUCUCGUCUCUUUUCUCACACUGGCAGUGAGUUCAUCAAGGCUCAUGUCUUUUCUCUUCUCUGUCCUUUUCUUUUUUAUGCCCACGCCUACAGCACAUGGAGGUUUCCAGGCUAGGGGUUGAAUUGGAGCUGCAGCCAGUCUACACCACAGCCACUCAGUGUUGGAAUCCGAGCCACAUCUGCGACCUAUAGCGCAGCUCACAAAACGCUGGAUCCUCAACCCACUGAGUGUGCGAGGCCAGGGAUGGAACCCGCAUCUUCAUGGAUACUAGUCAGGCUCCUAACCCACUGAGCCACAACGGGAGCUCCUGGGCUCAUGUCUUUAAUACCACCUCUAUGCUGGCAGCUCACGUCCAUACCUGGAGUCUAGUCCUCUCUCCUCUACUCCACGCAUGUCUCACUGCCUAUUCAACAGCUCCACUCGGAUGUGGCAUCUCAAAUCCAGCCCCUACACCUGACUUCCUGCUCCCACAUCUCAUCGAAUGGCAACACCAUCCUCCCAGGUGCUCAAGUUAAAACCUUUGCAUCUUCCUUGACUCCAAUUUUUCUCUCACACUCCACAUCCAGUCUCUAAAUCCCCUGAGCACUAUCUUCAAAAUAUACCCAGAACUGGCCCUAGAAGAGGCAAAAAGACAAAAAAAGAAAAAAAAAAAAUAUAUAUAUAUACACACACCCAGAACUGAGCGAUUUCUCACUACAUCCACAGGCGCUGCCCCCACCAAGACACCGUCAUCUCACACGUGUUAUCUUUCACCUCUCGCCUAACUGAGCUUCCUACUUGUGCCCCUGUCCAUCCUCAGCAUUUCAGCCUUGACCUUGGCCUUCCUCCUACUCAUGGGAAGUCUGCUAUUGUCCCAGCUCCAUGGUGAGUUAUGACAACGUUCAGUGGAAGAAGAGGGCAUCUCUCAUUAAAGGUGAGAAAACCAUUUGCGGAAGCUCUCCAGUAGGGCUCCCCUCACUUGCUUGUCCCUAAACCCGUCACUGGCAGGGGGCAUGGGAUCACUGGACUGACUUAGGCUAAUCAGGAUAACCCUUGAGCUGGGGACAGGGUUCUCUUUGGUGACAGGUGGACCGCCAAGCAGUCCUAAGGCUCUGUUUGUUGUAAAGUGAGGGACAGAUAUUGAGUAAAUACCCAGAUAGAGUCUGUUGCAAUGUGGGACAUCAGAGAGUCAGCAGGAGAGUCCAAUUACUUUUCUGAGCUGCUCAGUGUCAGUGGCCCCGGGGCCCACAGGCCUUGGCCAUGUACAAAGGAGCAGAGGUUGCUUGUGGACCACACAUGCUGUGGGAUGGGGCAGGUCACGUGGGUGUCUUUCUGCCUCCCAGGAGAUUCCUUCUUUUCCUUCUUCCUUCCUCUUCCCACCCUCCCUCUUCCACCUUCCUUCCUUCCUUUCUUUUCCCUUUCUGGCUGCAUCCAUGGCGUAUAGAAUUUCCCUGGCUAGGGAUCAAAUCGGAGCCACGUCUGCAAACUAUGCCACAGCUACAGCAAUGCCAGAUGUUUAACCCCCCGUGCUGCAGUGGGAACUCUAAGAUUCCUACUUUUCUCUCUCUUUUUUAAUUAGAGUAUAGUUGGUCUACAGUGUGGUGUCAAUUUCUGCUGUGACCCAGUGACCCAGUGACCCAGUGACCCAGGCACACAUACAUACACGUUCUUUUUCUCAUACGAUCUUCCGUCAUGUUCUACCCCAAGAGACUGGAUACAGUUCCCGGUGCUCUACAGUAAGAUCUCAUUGCUUAUCCAUUCCAAAAGUAAUCGUUUGCAUCUACCAAUCUCAAAAUCCCCCCUGGCAACCACAAGUCUGCUUUCCCUGUCUGUGAUCUGUUUCUGUUUUGUAGGUAGGAUCAUUUGUGCUAUAUUUGAUUUUGUUUUAUUUUAUUUUUUUGUCUUUUUGCCAUUUCUUGGGCCACUCCCACAGCAUAUGGAGGUUCCUAGGCUAGGGGUCAAAUUGGAGCUGUAGCCGCCAGCCUACGCCAGAGCCACAGCAACGUGGGAUCCGAGCCUCAUCUUUGACCUACACCACAGCUCAUGGCAACACCAGAUCCUUAACCCACUGAGCAAGGGCAGAGAUUGAACCCGCAACCUCAUGGUUCUUAGUCGGAUUUGUUUCCGCUACACCACGGUGGGAAGUCCUAAAUUUUCUUUAUAAACUAUUGUAUGUUGAGGCUUGACUUGAAUUUGUUAUGAAGGUAACUAACAUUUUGAUGAUAAAAAUGCACAAAACAUGUUUCUUGCUUUUAAAGAGUGAAGCAAAUUACUGACUGGUUUAAACAACCAGUAGCCGUGAAUUAAGGGUUACAGUGUUUACAGAGCCAGUAUAAAGAUGUUGUGUAUUAAAUUCCUUUUUUUCCUUUUAGUUGUUCAUGCCCAGGUUAUGACUCCCUAGGGGACUAACGGGGCAAAGCUUAAUCCCACUGCGCGCCCCUCAUUAGAUACCCAAAUUCCAGACUGUGCUUAGGAGGAGGCGCCUCCGUAGACCUUAUUCUCAUCAAACGACUGCAGGUGAAGUUUGCAUUUUUCAUUUCAGUGCAUCGCUGUUUCAAGUUUUAUCUGUAAGCCAGUAAGUUUUUAUUUCGUUCAUCGCUUCCAUUUAACAGAACCAUUUUUAAGACCCGUGGGUGGAAUUAACUUGACGCUAGAGCAUUUCUAGCCUUGGGAUUCCUGGGGAUUGGAAGAGCCAAAGGCAGAACAAGGAAGCAUCACAAUGAGAUGGAAGCUCCCAUUGUUUUCCUCUGAAAAAGACGCUUCUCAUCACCUUCUCCCAGUGCUCUUGCCCACACACCCACAUCACCCUGGUACUAAGGCGCUUCCAGUUCACAAGCGUUUCCCCUGUGGAUCCCGCAGGGGUGGGCGGGUGUCCCCUCUCCACCAAAGUCCGCUGCAGCCUUCCUGAUGCCUCAGCAGCUGGUACUUCUUCCUCUGGGCCUCUUUCCCCAGGGGAAGAGGAUUGGCCGUCUCACUGAGUUCACUGGAGGCAAACUUGACAUUCAGGCUAAUAUUUCUCUGACUGCAUGUCUUGUUUACGCAAUGCCACCGCGGAGGGGCCAGCCCCUGGCAUUUCCAUCCUGCGGUAUUUAUGGGCUGUCAUCACAGGAAGUCGGCACUUCCAAGCUCUCCCUCCAUCCCCACACAGGCAGGCCGGAAAUCCGUCGCUCUGGAGCCCAGCACGGGAGGCGGCUUGAACCAACUCAGAGUCUAGUUCACUCGGAAGUCGUCCAAGUAAAAGGUCAGCGUUUGAGCGCUUCACACCUCUGAGCCCAGACACCCUCCCUCCUGUGUUGUCCUAGAGCCUCGCCCAGCCUGCUGCCCGGGCAGCUGCUACGGGCUGCUCACCUGCGCUGCAUCAGGCCAUUUCCAAGCUGCUGGAACAGGUAGCUCAGGCUCUGGCUGCUGAGAACAGGCCUGGCGGGGAGCUACCCACCAGCUCCUCUCUUGCGGACCUCACUUCACCUGGGAUGGUUUUUGACCUUUCAAAGUUAGUGACUCCUGAGCAGUUAUAGACAGCUCUGUUAUUGUGGGUUCAGGCCUGAGGAUGGUUUAUCAUCUUGUAAUUCUGAGAAGAAAAGGGACAGGAGAAAGGUAGCUUUGAAUUAACUGUUUUGCCAUAACACACUUUUCAAAAUUAUUUAAGAAACAGAUUGUCACAACUCUCACAAGUUUUAUGUUUUGCAUGGUGUUUUGUUUCAAAUUUUUUUUAAAGCUGUAACGAUGUAGAUGUUUUCUAUGCUUGAAAAUACACGUUAUGGGGUCCCUGAUGGCUUAGCAGGUUAAGGAUCCGGCCUUGUCACUGCUGUGGCAUGGUUUCGAUCCCUGGCCCUGGAACUUCGCAAGCAGGGCCAAAAUAAUACUAAUAAUUAUACUACUACUAAUAACAAUAAUAAUACAUGUUACUUAAUAACAUUUUAUAAAUAUAUCCCUAACUUUCUAUACAAUCUUUAUAACAAUUUUAAUGUCUACCUAAUUCACCGAGUUGCCAUGUAUCACAGAUGACAUAACGUGUACUUGUUGCAUUUUUAGAUUUUUGCUGAGGUGUUUAGUUAAGAAGAUGUCAUAGAAUGCAAUAAAUACUCUGCAGAGGGGGUGUGAGGGGUGUCACAGAGAGGGGUUCUCGUUUCCAUUGCCAUGUAAGGGCAACGGGCACCUUGGGGAUGGUUGAAGCGGCUGCCACCAAUCUGCAAGCUCACCCAACUCCCAGGACCCUGUCCUUCCCAGCACAAUGCAGUCGCGUGUGCACCCACACAGACGCGCACACAGACACCCACCGAACACCAGAGGGGCCUUCCCCCCUCUCUGCCCGGCUCCUGGGUCCACUCCCUGGACCACCUGCACGCCACCCCCCAGGCAUGUCUGAUCUCUGGGUCCCAGGUCCUCUCAUGGGCCCAUCCUGCCUCUGAAAGAAUCGCUCUCCAGUCGGAACUCAGAACAGACAUGCAGGGAGCUGCUGUGAAUGACGCGUUUGGCAGCUGCCAUUUUACAGCCUGUCUGAAAAGCGGCACGGGCGUCCCACUCUCAGUCAUUUGGGUCCUCCAUGGAUCACCUCCAAAGUCACACCUCUCCAGGUCUCCACGGUGCCCGGGCCUGUACUCAGGUCUAGGAUGUAAUGAUGUCUCUGGGUUUGAGACGUCAGGACUGCACGAGCCAGGAGCCUCUUGCUGUUCUCAGCCAUCAGCUCUUGAACAUUUCUAAGCGGAUGAA
Molecule: long non-coding RNA, 5211 nt
Filed under: Sus scrofa (pig)
Lineage: Eukaryota; Metazoa; Chordata; Mammalia; Artiodactyla; Suidae
Description: lncRNA (ENSSSCG00040068031.1, ENSSSCG00060052614.1)
Source: RNAcentral